GUAGCUCAGUGGUAGGGCGCUUGCCUUGCAUGCAAGAGGCCCUGGGUUCGAUUCCUCAGC
Molecule: transfer RNA, 60 nt
Filed under: Dipodomys ordii (Ord's kangaroo rat)
Lineage: Eukaryota; Metazoa; Chordata; Mammalia; Rodentia; Heteromyidae
Rfam family: tRNA
About the family: Transfer RNA (tRNA) molecules are approximately 80 nucleotides in length.
Source: Rfam by way of RNAcentral